AACUUUUAACAAUGGAUCACUUGGCUCUCGCAUCGAUGAAGAACGCAGCGAAUUGCGAUAUGUAAUGUGAAUUGCAGAUUUUCAGUGAAUCAUCGAAUCUUUGAACGCACCUUGCGCUCCUUGGUAUUCCGAGGAGCAUGCCUGUUUGAGUGUCAUUAAAUUCUCAACUCCCUUUGAUUUAGCUAUCGAAGGGAGCUUGGACAGUGGGUUUGCUGGCGUUAAUCGUCAGCUUUCCUUAAAUGCAUUGGCAAAGGCGAUGGCUCGAUAACGUCUUUCGGUGUGAUAAUGAUCGCCGUGGAUGGAAGUGUCCUAGUUCUCCUAUGCCUAUAACCCCCAGUGUUCAUCGUUGCUUAAGUUGCGACGGUGGCUAAUACACACAUUGAACCUUUUGACCUCAAAUCAGGUAGGAUUACCCGCUGAACUUAAGCAUAUCAAUAAGCGGAGGCU
Molecule: unclassified non-coding RNA, 447 nt
Filed under: uncultured Boletales
Lineage: Eukaryota; Fungi; Basidiomycota; Agaricomycetes; Boletales
Description: sequence contains ITS2
Rfam family: 5.8S ribosomal RNA (bases 1-155)
Source: RNAcentral